GACGAACGCUGGCGGCGUGCCUAAUACAUGCAAGUCGAACGCAUUUUCUUUCACCGUAGCUUGCUACACCGAAAGAAAAUGAGUGGCGAACGGGUGAGUAACACGUGGGUAACCUGCCCAUCAGCGGGGGAUAACACUUGGAAACAGGUGCUAAUACCGCAUAAUUCCAUUUACCGCAUGGUAGAUGGGUGAAAGGCGCUUUUGCGUCACUGAUGGAUGGACCUGCGGUGCAUUAGCUAGUUGGUGGGGUAACGGCCUACCAAGGCUGCGAUGCAUAGCCGACCUGAGAGGGUGAUCGGCCACACUGGGACUGAGACACGGCCCAGACUCCUACGGGAGGCAGCAGUAGGGAAUCUUCGGCAAUGGACGCAAGUCUGACCGAGCAACGCCGCGUGAGUGAAGAAGGUUUUCGGAUCGUAAAACUCGGUUGUUAGAGAAGAACAAGGAUGAGAGUGGAAAGUUCAUCCCUUGACGGUAUCUAACCAGAAAGCCACGGCUAACUACGUG
This 507-nucleotide ribosomal RNA is filed under the name uncultured bacterium. Its description in RNAcentral is "partial 16S ribosomal RNA". It matches the Rfam family "Bacterial small subunit ribosomal RNA", at positions 28 to 507 of the family's 1533-position model. The record is from RNAcentral.